This is a long non-coding RNA of Panthera uncia (snow leopard), 2776 nucleotides long. RefSeq lists it as uncharacterized. Lineage: Eukaryota; Metazoa; Chordata; Mammalia; Carnivora; Felidae. The record is from RefSeq and is a predicted model, not a curated record. The transcript has 8 exons.
GAGAGGAGAGAGGGGAGGAGUGGAGGGGGAGGGGAGGGAGAGCAGGCAGGGGACCCCGGGGCCUGCCGCCACCCCAGGCUGGCGCCCCUGCCCUGCCCAGCUGAUCAUCAUAUUGUUCCAGAGUGAUGCCCAUCCUUGCUUUAUGCCAAUUGAUCCAUGCCUCUGCCGAGAAGAGGAAAGAGGUUCGGGCAGGGCGUUAAUAUUAAUCAACACCGGCCUCUCUCCAAAGGACAGCGGGGAAGCAGAAACAAAAGAAGGAGGUUUGCUGAACAGCCCAGAAUAUUACAGCGGGAGAAGCAAUCAGUUAAUGGGACUGGAUGCCAAUGAGCCUCCCCAAUAUUCUGAUUUCCCGGGAGAAACUCGGGUGUGGGGACGAGACAGGCUGCUUGCUUGUGCGCGCCUUGCCGGACUGGUUCUGUUCGUUCUGAGAAGAGACUCGUCCAAGUGACCAUCCGGUCCACGUGGUCCCCGAAGGUCCAGGAGGAAGCUGGUCUGCCGGCGACUGUGUCAAUCAUGGCUCCACGUGCCUGCCACCACGCGCCUCGCUUAGAGACCCAUAUGGACCUUCCCGUCAGGCUGGGACAGACUUAAAUUAUGACACUUUUCAUCUUGAUUGACAAUAACCUUCCCCUGGAAGUUGGGGAACAGCCCAGCUACAAUUACGUCUUGUACAAUAAAAUGAAGGAAAUAAUUUUAUGAUUCAUUAUUUUAUGAAUAUGGUCUCUGGCAGUUGGCUAAGGAGAUAAUCUUCAUUCCCACUGCUCCUGCGUUUUAUUAUUUUAUUAAGAGUUAACUCUCGAUUAUCCACAUGUGAGCCACAGAGACGAUUUUAUUCCCACAGCUGUUAGGUCUUAUUAUUUUAUUAUUAUCGGUUUGGGUUUGUCCCCGGGCUCCGUUCCGGGUGUGAAAAAGAAUCACGGUUUCUCAUUCUGAAUUACGUGCAGUAAAUGUUUAUAAUCUCACUGCCACCUCUCCCUUCUUCUGGGGUGGGUGGCUAUUUUUUUUUUUUUUUUAUUGCGGUAAAAGACACAUUACGCAAAAUUACCAUGUUGACGAUUUAAAAUACCGUGCAGUGGUAUUUAGUACGCUCAUGAUGUUGUUGCACAACCAUCACCUCUACCUAGGUCCCAAACGUUUUCACCCCCCGAAGAGGAAACCCCGCGAUAAAGGGGUCCCCCUCCAGCCCCGGCAACCAGGAAUCUGCCUUCUGUCUCCAUAGAUUUCUCCCACUCUAGACACUUCAUGCAAAUGGAAUCGUACAACAGGGGCCAUUACUGCCCAUAAUGGAGCCAAGGUCCAUCCAUGUGGCCGCAGGGACCAGAACUCCGCUCUUCUCCGUGGCCGAAACAACACUCCAGUGUGUGGACUGGCCGCACUCUGCUUAUCCAUUCUUUCGUGGAUGGACCUUUGGGGCGUUUCCAUCUUUGGCCGUUGUCCAUGGUGCUGCUGUGGACACCCGUUUUCAAUUCUUUUCAACUGGUUUCGCCAGCGGCCGUACCCCCUUUUCAGUCCCCGGCAUCAGGUGUGAGGGCUCCAGUUCUCCAGGAUGUUUCUUCCAGCCGGCCUUCGUUGUGUCAAUGGAAAAAACCAGUAUUUUCAAGGUAGAGGCAUCGGCCAGAAGUGCUGAGGACUGAUGCCCCGGAAGCAGCCCUCCACCCAGGGUCAGGCUCCAGGACGGGUCUCUCUGUCUCCCGGAACUUGCUGCUGGAGCUCUGUUCGCCCUCGGUGACAAUCGUGACAAUCGUAUGAAUGAGAUUUUCACCUCCUGAACGGGCUCGGUCCCGCAGUGGACGCCAGCAGGUCCUCGGUCCUCGUGGUUGUGAACACGGACAGAAGCGGUUUGCAGUCAUCAGUCUGUUUUGGGGAGCUGCCUCCCAUGGGGAGAAGCAAAGUGGAGGCAAAUAUGGAGGCAGCUUCAUUUUAGCACGCUGUUCUUAUCCUGUUAACGGGGAUCAGCAGGGCGCGUGAUGCAAAAUCCCAGGGCUUCCAGACCUUACCCUCUUAGCAGGCUCCCCUGACUCCAGUCUUUACUAGAUUUUCUUCCCAUGAGAACUCAGUUUCCCCAGGACCAGAGCAACACAAUGGAAGCAGAGAAACAAACGAAGAUCAAGUUUCUACCUGCGCUGCCUUCCCGCCUAAAUCCUCGAGUGCGGGAGAACUUGGAGCCCCUGCCUCCCAGACCCCGUCGUCCCAUCGCUAUGUGUUGGCAUCUUUCCCAGGGAGACAGAGAAAGAGGUGCUCCUGGUGCUCCGGCUGACCUCCGCCCUGGGGCUGCCCCCUGCUCCGCCCACCGGCCCGUCAUCUCUCAGCCCUGCCGGCCCCCACCCCUCACCAUUGCCCCCUGGCCAGCAGGCAAGGCGUGCGGUGUGUGUUUGGAGGAGGAGAGAAAUCGCGUGUAGGGUCGGGUCAGGAAGUGCGUGGAGGGACUCUAAAAUGCGUAGACUCUUGCCCGUUCUGAGAGGUCCCGCUUCGGAUGCCUCUUAAAACCCAGGAAUCCAGGCUCCUGCCCGCUGACCCUCCGGAGGGUCCAAGGCCGCACCCGCCCUGGCUGUUCGCAGCUGGCCUCUCCCGGGCCAGAGUGCCCGUGCUGCUGGGACUAUGACGUUCCGGACUGCGGGGCUGAAUUUUUCUCCGCACUUGCCCUGAGUUCUUUGUAAUAAUAGCUGCUCCUGGGCCAUCACCUUCUCCAUCGGAGAGACCCAUCAAAUGAACCAGCCGAGCCCAUAAAUUAUAGCACAAACCGUUCCAAACAAUAAAGGCAAUUUUACUUACUGAA